This 508-nucleotide ribosomal RNA is filed under the name uncultured bacterium. RNAcentral's name for it is "partial 16S ribosomal RNA". It matches the Rfam family "Bacterial small subunit ribosomal RNA", at positions 30 to 523 of the family's 1533-position model. The record is from RNAcentral.
AUUGAACGCUGGCGGCAUGCCUUACACAUGCAAGUCGAACGGCAGCGGGGGAGAAGCUUGCUUUUCCUGCCGAAGAAUAGCGAACGGGUGAGUAAUACAUCGGAACGUGCCCUGUAGUGGGGGAUAACUAGUCGAAAGAUUAGCUAAUACCGCAUACGACCUGAGGGUGAAAGUGGGGGACCGCAAGGCCUCAUGCUAUAGGAGCGGCCGAUGUCUGAUUAGCUAGUUGGUGGGGUAAAGGCCUACCAAGGCGACGAUCAGGAGCUGGUCUGAGAGGACGAUCAGCCACACUGGGACUGAGACACGGCCCAGACUCCUACGGGAGGCAGCAGUGGGGAAUUUUGGACAAUGGGCGAAAGCCUGAUCCAGCAAUGCCGCGUGUGUGAAGAAGGCCUUCGGGUUGUAAAGCACUUUUGUCCGGAAAGAAAUGGCUCUGGUUAAUACCUGGGGUCGAUGACGGUACCGGAAGAAUAAGGACCGGCUAACUACGUGCCAGCCGCCGCGGUAA